RNAcentral lists this ribosomal RNA (426 nucleotides) under uncultured prokaryote. RNAcentral's name for it is "bacterial SSU rRNA". It matches the Rfam family "Bacterial small subunit ribosomal RNA", at positions 355 to 796 of the family's 1533-position model. The record is from RNAcentral.
UGAGGAAUAUUGCACAAUGGGCGCAAGCCUGAUGCAGCGACGCCGCGUGGGCGAAGAAGGUCUUCGGAUCGUAAAGCCCUUUUCCAGGUGACGAGGAAGGACGGUAGCCUGGGAAUAAGUCUCGGCUAACUACGUGCCAGCAGCCGCGGUAAAACGUAGGAGGCGAGCGUUAUCCGGAGUUACUGGGCGUAAAGCGCGUGUAGGCGGCGGGCCAAGUUCGGCGUGAAAGCUCCCAGGCUCAACCGGGAGAGGGCGUCGAAAACUGGCCGGCUGGAGUUCGGCAGAGGGGCAUGGAAUUCCGGGUGUAGUGGUGAAAUGCGUAGAGAUCCGGAGGAACACCAGUGGCGAAGGCGGUGCCCUGGGCCUGAACUGACGCUGAGACGCGAAAGCAUGGGGAGCGAACGGGAUUAGAUACCCCCGUAGUCC